This 259-nucleotide ribosomal RNA is filed under the name uncultured Saprospiraceae bacterium. RNAcentral describes it as "partial 16S ribosomal RNA". It matches the Rfam family "Bacterial small subunit ribosomal RNA", at positions 173 to 432 of the family's 1533-position model. The record is from RNAcentral. Lineage: Bacteria; Pseudomonadati; Bacteroidota; Saprospiria; Saprospirales; Saprospiraceae.
AGACAGUGGCGUGGCAUCACUCAGCUGUUAAAGCUCCGGCACUUAAAGAUGGGCGUGCGGCUCGAUUAGGUAGUUGGCGGGGUCACGGUCCACCAAGCCGACGAUCAGUAACUGGUGUGAGAGCACGAGCAGUCAGAGCGGGCACUGAGACACGGGCCCGACUCCUACGGGAGGCAGCAGUAAGGAAUCUCGGUCAAUGGACGCAAGUCUGAACCAGCCAUGCCGCGUGGACGAUGAAGGCCCUCUGGGUCGUAAACUU